This 439-nucleotide ribosomal RNA is filed under the name uncultured bacterium. RNAcentral's name for it is "bacterial SSU rRNA". It matches the Rfam family "Bacterial small subunit ribosomal RNA", at positions 340 to 773 of the family's 1533-position model. The record is from RNAcentral.
UACGGAAGGCAGCAGGGGGGAAUAUUGCACAAUGGGCGCAAGCCUGAUGCAGCCAUGCCGCGUGUAUGAAGAAGGCCUUCGGGUUGUAAAGUACUUUCAGUCGUGAGGAAGGUGUUAAGGUUAAUAACCUUAGCAAUUGACGUUAGCGACAGAAGAAGCACCGGCUAACUCCGUGCCAGCAGCCGCGGUAAUACGGAGGGUGCGAGCGUUAAUCGGAAUUACUGGGCGUAAAGGGCACGCAGGCGGUUAAUUAAGUUGGAUGUGAAAUCCCCGGGCUUAACCUGGGAAUGGCAUUCAAGACUGGUUAGCUAGAGUCUUGUAGAGGGGGUAGAAUUCCAUGUGUAGCGGUGAAAUGCGUAGAGAUGUGGAGGAAUACCGGUGGCGAAGGCGGCCCCUGGACAAAGACUGACGCUCAUGUGCGAAAGCGUGGGGAGCAAAC